This 399-nucleotide ribosomal RNA is filed under the name uncultured bacterium. RNAcentral's name for it is "bacterial SSU rRNA". It matches the Rfam family "Bacterial small subunit ribosomal RNA", at positions 28 to 430 of the family's 1533-position model. The record is from RNAcentral.
GACGAACGCUGGCGGCGUGCUUAACACAUGCAAGUCGAGCGGUAAGGCCCGUUUCGGGGGUACACGAGCGGCGAACAGGUGAGUAACACGUGGGUGACCUGCCCUCAGCUCUGGGAUAAGCCUGGGAAACCGGGUCUAAUACUGGAUAUGACUCCAUGACGCAUGUUGUGGGGUGGAAAGCCUUGUGCGGCUGAGGAUGGGCCCGCGGCCUAUCAGCUUGUUGGUGGGGUGAUGGCCUACCAAGGCGACGACGGGUAGCCGGCCUGAGAGGGCGACCGGCCACACUGGGACUGAGACACGGCCCAGACUCCUACGGGAGGCAGCAGUGGGGAAUCUUGCGCAAUGGGCGAAAGCCUGACGCAGCGACGCCGCGUGAGGGAUGACGGCCUCGGUGUAACU